GCUCGGGUAGCUCAGUUGGUUAGAGCGUGGGUCUAAUAAACCCAAGGUCGAGGGUUCAAUCCCCUCCUUGAGCA
Molecule: transfer RNA, 74 nt
Organism: Ichthyophthirius multifiliis
Lineage: Eukaryota; Ciliophora; Oligohymenophorea; Hymenostomatida
Rfam family: tRNA
About the family: Transfer RNA (tRNA) molecules are approximately 80 nucleotides in length. Their secondary structure includes four short double-helical elements and three loops (D, anti-codon, and T loops).
Source: Rfam